CAACCCUCAAGCUCUGCUUGGUAUUGGGCACUGCAGGUAACUGCAGGCCUUAAAAUCAGUGGCGGUGCCAUUCGGCUUCAAGCGUAGUAAUUCUUCUCGCUUUGGAGACCCGAGUGGUUACUAGCCAUCAACCCCCAAUUUUUUCA
This 146-nucleotide unclassified non-coding RNA is filed under the name Antarctomyces sp. RNAcentral describes it as "partial internal transcribed spacer 2". The record is from RNAcentral. RNAcentral also lists the same sequence under 1 other name. Lineage: Eukaryota; Fungi; Ascomycota; Leotiomycetes; Thelebolales; Thelebolaceae.